Molecule: long non-coding RNA, 2998 nt
Organism: Drosophila sechellia
Lineage: Eukaryota; Metazoa; Arthropoda; Insecta; Diptera; Drosophilidae
Exons: 3
Source: RefSeq, a predicted model, not a curated record
UGCUGAUUCAAUUUACUCCAUUGCAGUUGGGCAAUUGGAAAUUGUCUUAUUCGAACGCCGGACAGCUCGGCUUGGGUCAAAUGACAACUGGUAAUGUCGGACAAUUAAUAUCGCCGCAUGUACAGAGCAAGGUGUGACCACCGAGGGUCAGGCUGUUUGAUUACUAGGAAAUGCAUAGUGAAGUUAUGUUGUGACAUCAGCCCAUACAAGACAUCAAGAGUCUAUAUCGGUAUUGUCCCGCUUUCUACUUUUGAGUGACAUACAAUCCAACCCACGAAGAAGUCAGACCCCUUUCCAUCCUCGGAACCCAUCGCCGAACAAUGGUGGAGCCUAAAUUACAAUACCCCAGGCUGAAUCUGCAGCCCACACACACGACACAAGUCACAAGACGACCCCUUUGAAACCGGCAACUGGAGCAACUGCAGCAGCCCAUCAGCUUUUCCGCCUGACACCGACAUGCCGCCAAGAGCUCGAGCUGGGGGUCACUGCCUCGUUUUACAAGGCAUUCAAAAGGAGAUUUGAAUAUUUUAGGAGGCACACGGCGACAUUUCAAUGGACAACAAGUGCCACGCAGCUCCAUGACGACAAAUGGCAGAGAACCAAGCUGGUACACCGGGCGAAACAGGUGAAGCUACUACUACCGCAAGUGAUGUCGGACUAUUUGGACUUAUUUCUAAACAUCCAUGCGCUGUUUAAAAUGUUCUCCGAACACUUUGAUCUUGGUGUAAUCCCGAUCCCCGGGCUCUAACGCUGGAUCUCCGGUUGGGGGUCUUUUGGUGGGGCGACCCGGUCUGCAGGUGGUCGUCGUACAACUCUAUUUUUUAUUUUGUCGCGCUCGCCGAAGUCGCCUUGCAGCGGUGGUCGCUCGUUUAUUAGGCUGGCUCUUCUGGCUGGCCAGUGGCUACCAGGCGUCCAAGACCUGGACCUCCUAACUCCGAACCGAGGCACCGGCGUCUCGGCUUUGCAUCGACAUAGUGCAUAGAAUGCACCGCAUACUUGCAGAUACAGAUGGCAGGCGGCGCAUUGUAUCUGUAUCUGGAUCUGGAUCGGAGAUCGUCUGCCGGUUGGCUGGUGGCUGCAUUUUAUGCACCUUUUGGUAUGUUCAUUGUGAAUUUAUUGGACUCGAUUUUAUCGCUCAAACAAAUGUUGCAUUUUACAAGUGGUUCAAGUGCCUGCAAACGUUAGCUUAAAGACGGCGCUUAUUAAUGAGCCGGGAGUUGGCCGCGAGUAUCUGGUAUCUGGAACUUGGGGAGCGUGCAAAACUGGCGCUCGAUGCCAGCGGGAGUUUUGGUCGAAGAGAACGGGCUAAGAGGGGAGUGCCGCCGUAUCGCUUAUUCCCGAUAAGUCGGGCCCACAUUCGUGGGCAUUUGGCCAAGUUGCGCCAAACAAAUUGCGGCCAUCAGUCAGGGGUAGUCAGUCAGUCAGGCCGCACAAUUAAUAUCGAAUUAAGCCGCUGGCCAAAAAAUUAGGCAAAUCGCCGUUGUUGAGCCGCAAAAGCAGGAAAUCCAACCAGAUUCGCCAACAAAAACAGUUCAAAGUGUUUUAGAAAUUGUAGCAAUCACUAUAAUAUCAAUUAAAUUGGGUAAUAACCAAGUCAAAAUGAUUCGUACGGUAUUAAUAAAAUAUUGCUAUAGCUUAAAGAUUUUCACAAAUUUGUUCAAAAUGUUUCCCAAUUACUUCAACGCUGGGUGAGAAUACCUAAAGCCCAGUAAAUUGCCUUAAGUGCUCGUUAGAUUCCUCGUUAGACCUUUGCUUUCUGCUUCCAAAUUACACCUAUCAAUCAAUUUGAACAUGGCACAACUAUCGAAUUAACCCGCAAUCGAAGGAAAAUCAAUAGCGAUUCGAUUCCCGCUUUUCCAUUUCGGUGGACUCACGCAAUGAACCAUUGAACCAGGACACAAUAAGGAGCACCUGCGAUGAUUAGGGGUAAUCACAAGUGCUUAACACAAAAACCGCCAAUACACUGACCAAAAUGAGGUCUUAAAUAAUACAAUUUUGGUAUAAUUACACAAACAUGAUCCGUCUGAAGAUUUUGCAAUCAUAAAAAUAACUAUUUCUAUGCAAUUCUUUUGCACCUUUUCCAUCGAUAGACAGUCUUUUCAGCUUUUUCAGUGCUUGCGAUCGAUAUUGGUAAUAACUUUCCUGUGUUUGCGGGCCCAAGACAUCAAUCAACCGAAAUCGAUUGGUCAAUGGGUCAUCAUUUGACGCACUCGGGGCGGGUUCACUUGUCACUCGCAAGUGCCUUGAAUGUCACCUAAAAGAGGGCGUUAUACCACGAGUAUACAUUUGGGGGCGUGGCUGUGGUGCCGGCAAAUUGCUGUCACAAGCGCCAAAUUAUGUGCACUCGCCCAGUGGCUCGGACUUAAUCGGAGACGAAAAUCUAAUUGACAUAAAGCCGACAUGCUAAACGACAUCGACAUCGGCCUCCGCUGGAGCUUAUGGAUGUAGCUAAUGAUGACUCUGUUGGUGCUGUUGCUGCUACAAAGUUGCUGCUGCUGCUGCUGUUGCUGUUGCUGCUGCGAACCAAGACGACGACGUCGCGUAUCUCACAUCUUUUGCCGAUAUUUAUGGGCCCGGGUCGAAAGUUCAAAUGCUGCCAACCCAACAGCGAGCUGGCAGGAAAGAGGAAGACAGAGAGCUCGGUUUAAUCAAGGCCCCUGCAAAGUCGAUUAAUUAGCGGCUCACGAGGCACGGCGGUGCAUCGAACUGGCAUCCAAAAACGUACACAGGUGCGAACCUGCGGAUUCUCUGGACUCGAGUGAAAGGUGGCUAGAAGCUUCGGCUUUUUGGCCCUCGGCCAUGUCAAACCGGACAGACGCCCAUCAAGCAAACUGAAAUGAGGAAAAAGAGAAGGAAAAUAGCACCUGACAGCCAAGCCGCAGCCGUCAACAAUAUCCAUCUGAAAGAGGUCAUAAAGCAAACAGUUUAAGGUGAAAGGUGCUCCGCGGACAUGCAACAUGCAACUCUGCCAGACUCGACCAACAGAAAUGCAGAGGAU